UCCUAGCCCUAAACCAUGCUCACUAGGUGUUUGAGGUAUCGACCCCUUGAGUGCCGCAGCUAACGCGUUAAGUGAGCCGCCUGGGGAGUACGGCCGCAAGGUUGAAACUCAAAAGAAUUGACGGGGGCCCGCACAAGCGGUGGAGCAUGUGGUUUAAUUCGAUGCUACGCGAAAGACCUUACCUGGGUUUGACAUGCUGGUAGUAAGAUCCUGAAAGGGUGAUGAGCCGUAGAAAUACGGAAGCCAGCACAGGUGCUGCAUGGCUGUCGUCAGCUCGUGUCGUGAGAUGUUGGGUUAAGU
Molecule: ribosomal RNA, 300 nt
Filed under: uncultured bacterium
Lineage: Bacteria
Description: bacterial SSU rRNA
Rfam family: Bacterial small subunit ribosomal RNA
Source: RNAcentral